CCUAUUUUUACAUUCCACGUGAUUCAGAAGAGAGAGCCCGUGGGGACGUCAUUUGCAGAAUAUAUAGCUCCUCACAAGCAACUGAGGAUCACUCUCAAGGUUCACUCUUCAUCGGUCGCGCGUACGUUUGGAAAUAGGCCCAACGACAACGACAACGACACAGGCACGAAAGCUUGCAAUUGCUCAUGGGAAUGGUCUCCAUUAGCCUCCCAACUUUGAAAUGAAGGGAGAGGGAUGGAAACAUCCGUUGCUGUCCUCGUCCUUG
RNAcentral lists this long non-coding RNA (265 nucleotides) under Eucalyptus grandis. RNAcentral's name for it is "long non-coding RNA (EGRA_LNC003606)". Lineage: Eukaryota; Viridiplantae; Streptophyta; Magnoliopsida; Myrtales; Myrtaceae. The record is from RNAcentral.